RNAcentral lists this long non-coding RNA (593 nucleotides) under Homo sapiens (human). RNAcentral's name for it is "novel transcript". Lineage: Eukaryota; Metazoa; Chordata; Mammalia; Primates; Hominidae. The record is from RNAcentral.
GGAGAAGUCAAAACAAAGGUCACCAUGUUGUUCUGAGCCUAAGGGGUCUUUGUGAGAUCUUGCACUACAAACUGCAGCCAAGGGGAUCCCGAAUGGGCAAGACUUGAUCCUCAUACUGGUGAAACCUCCUGAGUCCCCAGGGACCCUGUCAGACCAGGCUCCAGCCUCCCUGCGGUCUCUGAGAGAGAAUGUGGCUAGUUCUGCCCCACGGCUCCCUGGCAGUCCAGCGGUCAGAAGUGGCCACGCAGAACCCAACAUUCAGCCUGGGUGCAGACACUGCCUCUAGCCUCCUCCCCAAGCACUCUCCUAGUAUGCCUCAAGUCCUAGGACUUAGCCUCUUUAUCAUCAGCCUUGUUUCCAUCAUUGUCAUCAUCAUCCACUACCACCACCACCAACUCCUACAACCCAUAUUUAUUCAUUGAAUCCUGGAACCACAGCAGCUAAUGAUGGGGGAGGAGGCUUUAAAGACCAUCUUUCUAGCCAGAACAUCAAUCCUUGCUACAGAAUUCCGUGUGAAUUGUGAUCCAGUAGAACACUCCCAGCAAUAAGCAGCUUACUCACUGCCUCAUAAAUCAGCCCAUUGCAUCUCUGGA